Molecule: long non-coding RNA, 733 nt
Filed under: Phaseolus vulgaris (common bean)
Lineage: Eukaryota; Viridiplantae; Streptophyta; Magnoliopsida; Fabales; Fabaceae
Description: long non-coding RNA (PVUL_LNC001362)
Source: RNAcentral
GUAUGGAGGAGUGGACUUUUGAGGCCUGCUGAAGCCUUUAUCACUGUUGCACCUGCUAUAAUGCAAAUUCAAAUUCAAAUCAUCAUAAUCAAGCAUUUGGUUCUCUCUGAAUCAUCAAACACAAUCCAUAUGUGUUGCCCUCUAGUUGCAUGCAUGUACUUCAAAAUAUAGCAGGUUUUCUUUCUAUUUUCCUUCUUUCUUUUUGGGUAAGAUUUUUCAUUCUAUGAUCUAUUAGACUAUAGAGAGUAAUGUGAAAAUUUCUAUUUGAGGCAUCCUACUCACUUUCUUUUCCUGCUUUUUCUUCCUGAGGGCUACUUGGCUUGUUUACACUCUCAGUCCUCAUAUCAGUGUCAAACUCUGAACUUUUUAACAUAUAUUUUGGGGCAUAAUAUAUAUAUAUAUAUAUAUAUAUAUAUAUAUAUAUAUAUAUAUAUAAUAUUCGAGUUCUUAAGAGUCACAAAAAUAACUCUGAUGGCUGACACACUGUGAUCUUAAUUUGAGCAUAUAUAACAUCAGAAUUUUUUUUGAUAGGGUAUAACAUCAUAAUACAAGGCUGGAUUACUCUCCACGAGUGCUUCUUCUCCUCCUCCCUCGUUCUCUAGGCUUUCUCGACUUCUCUUUAUUUCAGAGUCCUUGCGUUCUUUAGUUCUUAUCAGUAUUAUCUGUAAAAAUAUUUUGAAUGUUAAGUCAAUCUGAAUACAAUCUAUAAAUUUUAAGUUUAAUUGAUUAUUAU